GACGAACGCUGGCGGCGUGCCUAAUACAUGCAAGUUGAGCGAUGAAGAUUGGUGCUUGCACCAAUUUGAAGAGCAGCGAACGGGUGAGUAACGCGUGGGGAAUCUGCCUUUGAGCGGGGGACAACAUUUGGAAACGAAUGCUAAUACCGCAUAACAACUUUAAACAUAAGUUUUAAGUUUGAAAGAUGCAAUUGCAUCACUCAAAGAUGAUCCCGCGUUGUAUUAGCUAGUUGGUGAGGUAAAGGCUCACCAAGGCGAUGAUACAUAGCUGACCUGAGAGGGUGAUCGGCCACAUUGGGACUGAGACACGGCCCAAACUCCUACGGGAGGCAGCAGUAGGGAAUCUUCGGCAAUGGACGAAAGUCUGACCGAGCAACGCCGCGUGAGUGAAGAAGGUUUUCGGAUCGUAAAACUCUGUUGGUAGAGAAGAACGUUGGUGAGAGUGGAAAGCUCAUCAAGUGACGGUAACUACCCAGAAAGGGACGGCUAACUACGUG
RNAcentral lists this ribosomal RNA (497 nucleotides) under uncultured bacterium. Its description in RNAcentral is "partial 16S ribosomal RNA". It matches the Rfam family "Bacterial small subunit ribosomal RNA", at positions 28 to 507 of the family's 1533-position model. The record is from RNAcentral.